UGUAGGAAAAUAAUCAUUAAUAACGUCAAAUACUCAAUCUUGAAGGUUAUUUGUAAAUUUAUCACAAUUAAAUGCAGUUACUCUUUUAUAUCUGCUUAAAUUAUUUGCAGGUAUUCUUGAAAUAUUACAUAGUUGCGGAUCGAAAAACCAGUUAAAACUUAAAAGGAAAAUUCAGUAUAUGAUUUGAACUCAAGUUUAUUUAGAAUAGCACUCACAUAACCUAACCUCAAACUUUAAUGGAUCAGAACUGGAAAAUAAUUUGAAUCAACAAAUUAC
Long non-coding RNA from Homalodisca vitripennis (glassy-winged sharpshooter), 276 nucleotides. RefSeq lists it as uncharacterized. The transcript is spliced from 2 exons. NCBI's taxonomy places the organism in Eukaryota, Metazoa, Arthropoda, Insecta, Hemiptera, Cicadellidae. The record is from RefSeq and is a predicted model, not a curated record.